RNAcentral lists this ribosomal RNA (600 nucleotides) under uncultured bacterium. Its description in RNAcentral is "bacterial SSU rRNA". It matches the Rfam family "Bacterial small subunit ribosomal RNA", at positions 77 to 673 of the family's 1533-position model. The record is from RNAcentral.
AGCUUGCUUCUCUUGAGAGCGGCGGACGGGUGAGUAAUGCCUAGGAAUCUGCCUGGUAGUGGGGGAUAACGUUCGGAAACGAACGCUAAUACCGCAUACGUCCUACGGGAGAAAGCAGGGGACCUUCGGGCCUUGCGCUAUCAGAUGAGCCUAGGUCGGAUUAGCUAGUUGGUGAGGUAAUGGCUCACCAAGGCGACGAUCCGUAACUGGUCUGAGAGGAUGAUCAGUCACACUGGAACUGAGACACGGUCCAGACUCCUACGGGAGGCAGCAGUGGGGAAUAUUGGACAAUGGGCGAAAGCCUGAUCCAGCCAUGCCGCGUGUGUGAAGAAGGUCUUCGGAUUGUAAAGCACUUUAAGUUGGGAGGAAGGGCAUUAACCUAAUACGUUGGUGUCUUGACGUUACCGACAGAAUAAGCACCGGCUAACUCUGUGCCAGCAGCCGCGGUAAUACAGAGGGUGCAAGCGUUAAUCGGAAUUACUGGGCGUAAAGCGCGCGUAGGUGGUUUGUUAAGUUGGAUGUGAAAUCCCCGGGCUCAACCUGGGAACUGCAUUCAAAACUGACAAGCUAGAGUAUGGUAGAGGGUGGUGGAAUUUCCUG